ACCCCCUCUAAACACCUAUAAACCCCUUAAAAGUGUGUAUGGGCGAAUAUGUGUGUGUGUUUGUGUUUGUGGAGGUGUGUGUAUGUGUUUGUCUGUGAGUGUGUGUGGAUGCAUGCGUGUAUGUGUUCUUGUGUUUAUGUCUCUGUGUGUGUUUGUGUGGGUAAUAUGUGUGUGUAGGUGUGUCUGUGUUUGGGUUUAUACAAUUACGUGUGUUUGUGUAUGUGUUUUUUUGUGUGUGUGUGUGUGAGAGUCUGUGUGUGUGCAUGUUUGUGUAUGUAUGAGUGUCUGUGUGUGUGUGUUUAUGUGAUUGUGUGUGUCAUGUGUGUGCGUGUGUCAUGUGUGUGCGUGUGUGUGUGUGUGUUUAUGUGUUUAUGUUGGUGGUAUGUGUGGGGGUAUAAGUUUGUAUGUGUGUG
This 413-nucleotide long non-coding RNA is filed under the name Vigna radiata. RNAcentral's name for it is "long non-coding RNA (VRAD_LNC018362)". The record is from RNAcentral. Lineage: Eukaryota; Viridiplantae; Streptophyta; Magnoliopsida; Fabales; Fabaceae.